Molecule: ribosomal RNA, 575 nt
Filed under: Geastrum sp. TNS KH-NZ09-91
Lineage: Eukaryota; Fungi; Basidiomycota; Agaricomycetes; Geastrales; Geastraceae
Description: eukaryotic LSU rRNA
Rfam family: 5.8S ribosomal RNA (bases 195-349)
Source: RNAcentral
UUUCCGUAGGUGAACCUGCGGAAGGAUCAUUACUGAAGAUAAUGGGUCUUGAGACUGCAUUUCAUGCGUGCUCGGCCCUCUAUUCUUUCAUCCACACACACCUUUGUGCACUCAUGGGGAUGUUACAUCCCCACAUUACAUACAAACACCUAGUUUACACGCAUGUCUUCAUAUACUCUACGGAGUUAAUGUACAACUUUCAACAACGGAUCUCUUGGCUUUCGCAUCGAUGAAGAACGCAGCGAACGUGCGAAACGUAAUGUGAAUUGCAGAAUUCAGUGAAUCAUCGAAUCUUUGAACGCAUCUUGCGCUCCUUGGCAUUCCGAGGAGCAUGCCUGUCUGAGUGUCGUGAAACAAUCUCAAUUUCAAUCUUUUUGUUUGGAAUUGGACUUGGGUGUUGUUGUGAAUGGUCAUGACUCAUCCUAAAUGCAUGAGCGAUCUGUCUUUGAUCACACACAAUGUGAUAAGAAAAAGCAUUGUUACAAUCAAGUCAGGAUAGCUUCCAACCGUCGAAAGACAACGCAUAUAUGUCAUUUGACCUCAGAUCAGGCAGGACUACCCGCUGAACUUAAGCA